UGUGAACUCGAAGAGUAGGGCGGGACACGUGGUAUCCUGUCUGAAUAUGGGGGGACCAUCCUCCAAGGCUAAAUACUCCUGACUGACCGAUAGUGAACCAGUACCGUGAGGGAAAGGCGAAAAGAACCCCGGCGAGGGGAGUGAAAAAGAACCUGAAACCGUGUACGUACAAGCAGUGGGAGCACCUUUAUGGUGUGACUGCGUACCUUUUGUAUAAUGGGUCAGCGACUUAUAUUCUGUAGCAAGGUUAACCGUAUAGGGGAGCCGCAGGGAAACCGAGUCUUAACUGGGCGUUAAGUUGCAGGGUAUAGACCCGAAACCCGGUGAUCUAGCCAUGGGCAGGUUGAAGGUUGGGUAACACUAACUGGAGGACCGAACCGACUAAUGUUGAAAAAUUAGCGGAUGACUUGUGGCUGGGGGUGAAAGGCCAAUCAAACCGGGAGAUAGCUGGUUCUCCCCGAAAGCUAUUUAGGUAGCGCCUCGUGAAUUCAUCUUCGGGGGUAGAGCACUGUUUCGGCUAGGGGGUCAUCCCGACUUACCAACCCGAUGCAAACUACGAAUACCGAAGAAUGUUAUCACGGGAGACACACGGCGGGUGCUAACGUCCGUCGUGAAGAGGGAAACAACCCAGACCGCCAGCUAAGGUCCCAAAGUCAUGGUUAAGUGGGAAACGAUGUGGGAAGGCACAGACAGCCAGGAUGUUGGCUUAGAAGCAGCCAUCAUUUAAAGAAAGCGUAAUAGCUCACUGGUCGAGUCGGCCUGCGCGGAAGAUGUAACGGGGCUAAACC
This 788-nucleotide ribosomal RNA is filed under the name Klebsiella quasipneumoniae subsp. similipneumoniae. RNAcentral's name for it is "bacterial LSU rRNA". It matches the Rfam family "Bacterial large subunit ribosomal RNA", at positions 398 to 1188 of the family's 2925-position model. Lineage: Bacteria; Pseudomonadati; Pseudomonadota; Gammaproteobacteria; Enterobacterales; Enterobacteriaceae. The record is from RNAcentral.